RNAcentral lists this ribosomal RNA (426 nucleotides) under uncultured bacterium. Its description in RNAcentral is "bacterial SSU rRNA". It matches the Rfam family "Bacterial small subunit ribosomal RNA", at positions 506 to 930 of the family's 1533-position model. The record is from RNAcentral.
GGCCAGCAGCCGCGGUAAUACGGAGGGUGCAAGCAUUAAUCGGAUUUAUUGGGCAUAAAGGGCGCGUAGGCGGGAAUAUAAGUCAGACGUGAAAUGCCAGGGCUUACCCUUGGCACGGCGUUUGAAACUAUUUUUCUAGAGGAUUGACGGAGAAAGCGGAAUUCUAUGUGUAGCGGUGAAAUGCGUAGAUAUAUGGAAGAACACCUGUGGCGAAGGCGGCUUUCUAGUUUAUUCCUGACGCUAAGGCGCGAAAGCAAGGGGAGCAAACAGGAUUAGAUACCCUGGUAGUCCUUGCCUUAAACGAUGUAUACUUGAUGUAGUCGGACUCAAUCCCGGCUGUGUCGUAGCUAAUGUGUUAAGUAUACCGCCUGAGGAGUACACUCGCAAGGGUGAAACUCAAAAGAAUUGACGGGGGCCCGCACAAGG